Pogonomyrmex barbatus (red harvester ant) is the source of this 782-nucleotide long non-coding RNA. Lineage: Eukaryota; Metazoa; Arthropoda; Insecta; Hymenoptera; Formicidae. The record is from RefSeq and is a predicted model, not a curated record.
UGAAAAGCAACUUAUCAAAGAAGACAGCAAAAAUAAGAAAUGAACGGAAUCGAAUAGGAAAUUUUUCAGUAAAUUCAGAAUUUUUUGAUAAUUUAGAACAACGUGUCGUCACUUGUAUGGAUUUAGAUUAUGUACAAAGUUUCUAUAACUCCUGAUAAUACACCAGAGGAAGAGAUUUGUGAUCCUGAUUUAAAAAUUCUGAAUGCAUAUCCAGGAGCAUGUCAUGACGCAUAUAUUUGGUCUCUCAAUUCACCAGUACGUUGCAUUAUGGAACGGCGUUUUAGAAACCGAGAACAUAAUACAUGGUUAAUUGGUAAUGAUGGCUUAAAUAGACAGAAUUGGUAUUGGAGAUAAUGAACGACAAUAUGCAUAUCAAAAACGUGCAACCACAACCCGUAUACAGGAAAAUUUUAUUACCCGUCAAUAUGAGAGAAUUUAACUGAUUUAAAAAAACAGAGCUUCUAACGUCGAUUUGAAACAUGCAAAUAAGGAGAUAGAUAUGCGGGAGAUGCUGGUGAGAAGCAGAAAAAGUACGGCUACUCAAUGUGAUAUAUAUGAUUAGUCAUUUGAUACAAUAACGGCAACUAUAAGGCACAGUUUUAAGAUGCAUCCUAAUUUACCGAAUAAAUUCUAUUGUUUCUAUUGUGAAAAGCAAUUUUCUCUAAAGACUCGUACAGAUAGCCAUCAAAUAUCACAUGACACAUCUGAAAGCGAGAAGAAAGAGGAGCAUAGAAAAUGCAAUGUGUUAUUUUAUAAUCAGAAAGCGCUGAAUUAAUGUAGAA